UCGUUGAUGCCGGGGAAAGCUACGGGUGAGGGAGGGACUGCUACAUACCAAGGAGCACUGACUACGAGUUGCUUCAGACCUUUCAGUGAUACGGGAAUGGCGAGCAGCAAUGGAAGAUUGACGGGUGGGGGAUUUUGUGCAGAGCCGAGAUCGGGGAAGACGACUUGGUGAGGAUGGUCAAUUGGGAAAAUAGUGACAAUGAGGGACUCGGUGAGAGAAUGGCCAAAC
Molecule: unclassified non-coding RNA, 228 nt
Filed under: Hevea brasiliensis (rubber tree)
Lineage: Eukaryota; Viridiplantae; Streptophyta; Magnoliopsida; Malpighiales; Euphorbiaceae
Source: RNAcentral